RNAcentral lists this ribosomal RNA (395 nucleotides) under uncultured bacterium. Its description in RNAcentral is "bacterial SSU rRNA". It matches the Rfam family "Bacterial small subunit ribosomal RNA", at positions 28 to 429 of the family's 1533-position model. The record is from RNAcentral.
GACGAACGCUGGCGGCGUGCUUAACACAUGCAAGUCGAGCGGUAAGGCCCUUUCGGGGGUACACGAGCGGCGAACGGGUGAGUAACACGUGGGUGACCUGCCCUCAGCUCUGGGAUAAGCCUGGGAAACUGGGUCUAAUACUGGAUAUGACUCCACGGUGCAUGUCGUGGGGUGGAAAGCCUUGUGCGGCUGAGGAUGGGCCCGCGGCCUAUCAGCUUGUUGGUGGGGGAUGGCCUACCAAGGCGACGACGGGUAGCCGGCCUGAGAGGGCGACCGGCCACACUGGGACUGAGACACGGCCCAGACUCCUACGGGAGGCAGCAGUGGGGAAUCUUGCGCAAUGGGCGAAAGCCUGACGCAGCGACGCCGCGUGAGGGAUGACGGCCUGGUGUAAC